AGCUACGGCGAGUGAAGCGGCAACAGCUCAAAUUUGAAAUCUGGCUCUUUCAGAGUCCGAGUUGUAAUUUGCAGAGGGCGCUUUGGCUUUGGCAGCGGUCCAAGUUCCUUGGAACAGGACGUCACAGAGGGUGAGAAUCCCGUACGUGGUCGCUAGCUAUUGCCGUGUAAAGCCCCUUCGACGAGUCGAGUUGUUUGGGAAUGCAGCUCUAAAUGGGAGGUAAAUUUCUUCUAAAGCUAAAUAUUGGCCAGAGACCGAUAGCGCACAAGUAGAGUGAUCGAAAGAUGAAAAGCACUUUGGAAAGAGAGUCAAACAGCACGUGAAAUUGUUGAAAGGGAAGCGCUUGCAGCCAGACUUGCUUGCAGUUGCUCAUCCGGGCUUUUGCCCGGUGCACUCUUCUGCAGGCAGGCCAGCAUCAGUUUGGGCGGUGGGAUAAAGGUCUCUGUCACGUACCUUCCUUCGGGUUGGCCUUAUAGGGGAGACGCCAUACCACCAGCCUGGACUGAGGUCCGCGCAUCUGCUAGGAUGCUGGCGUAAUGGCUGUAAGCGGCCCGUCUUGAAACAC
This 565-nucleotide ribosomal RNA is filed under the name Curvularia spicifera. Its description in RNAcentral is "LSU rRNA". It matches the Rfam family "Eukaryotic large subunit ribosomal RNA", at positions 82 to 662 of the family's 3401-position model. Lineage: Eukaryota; Fungi; Ascomycota; Dothideomycetes; Pleosporales; Pleosporaceae. The record is from RNAcentral.